GGCAUUAGUGGCGACGGGUGAGUAACACGUGAGUAACCUGCCCUUGACUCUGGGAUAAGCGUUGGAAACGACGUCUAAUACCGGAUAUGAGCUGCGACGGCAUCGUCUGCAGUUGGAAAGAUUUUUUGGUCAAGGAUGGACUCGCGGCCUAUCAGGUAGUUGGUGAGGUAACGGCUCACCAAGCCGACGACGGGUAGCCGGCCUGAGAGGGUGACCGGCCACACUGGGACUGAGACACGGCCCAGACUCCUACGGGAGGCAGCAGUGGGGAAUAUUGCACAAUGGGCGAAAGCCUGAUGCAGCAACGCCGCGUGAGGGAUGACGGCCUUCGGGUUGUAAACCUCUUUUAGUAGGGAAGAAGGGAGCUUGCUCUUGACGGUACCUGCAGAAAAAGCACCGGCUAACUACGUGCCAGCAGCCGCGGUAAUACGUAGGGUGCAAGCGUUGUCCGGAAUUAUUGGGCGUAAAGAGCUCGUAGGCGGUUUGUCGCGUCUGCUGUGAAAUCUGGGGGCUCAACCCCCAGCCUGCAGUGGGUACGGGCAGACUAGAGUGCGGUAGGGGAGAUUGGAAUUCCUGGUGUAGCGGUGGAAUGCGCAGAUAUCAGGAGGAACACCGAUGGCGAAGGCAGAUCUCUGGGCCGUUACUGACGCUGAGGAGCGAAAGCAUGGGGAGCGAACAGGAUUAGAUACCCUGGUAGUCCAUGCCGUAAACGUUGGGAACUAGAUGUAGGGGCCAUUCCACGGGUUUCUGUGUCGCAGCUAACGCAUUAAGUUCCCCGCCUGGGGAGUACGCGCAGCUAAACUCAAGGAAUUGACGGGGGCCCGCACAAGCGGCGGAGCAUGGCGG
RNAcentral lists this ribosomal RNA (846 nucleotides) under Actinomycetes bacterium. RNAcentral's name for it is "bacterial SSU rRNA". It matches the Rfam family "Bacterial small subunit ribosomal RNA", at positions 88 to 945 of the family's 1533-position model. Lineage: Bacteria; Bacillati; Actinomycetota; Actinomycetes. The record is from RNAcentral.